AUCAGAAACUGGGAGGAGGAGGAGGAGGAGGAGGAGGAGGAGGAGGAAAUCCCAACUUUAGAUCUUUAGAUCCCCUCAGAGCUUCAGAGAAAUCACAGUCUGAGGAAAGUCCUCUUCUCUUCUUCAGCGGUUAUCAGACCAGAUCCUGGAGCAGCUGAACUCUCUCAGCCUCCCUCCAGAUUUUCUCAGGAAGUCGGUGACGUCCUCCUCCUCCUCCUCCUCCUCCUCCUCCUCCUCCUCCUCGGUGA
This 248-nucleotide microRNA precursor is filed under the name Xyrichtys novacula (pearly razorfish). The record is from RNAcentral. Lineage: Eukaryota; Metazoa; Chordata; Actinopteri; Labriformes; Labridae.